GAGAGAAAAUUGAAUAAAUCCAACUUAAUGGAAUUGGUCAAUUUUUAAUUGAAAAGCACUUCCUGUUAACCGCGCUUUUUGAAUUUGGCAGACAUAGCCACAAAACAUGCAGACGGGGAGUUACCCUCUACCUCUUUACUCAUCUAUCUGGUUGACUACGAUGAGAUGGCAGUGUAAAACCUGCGGAUUCAGAGCAACGACAAGGGUGAUCUUCUGACCCAUUACAGGCUACAGCACAGGACAUUUGAAACUGGAAAUUCGAUCAGUGCUGAAUUUCAGAGAAUAACCACUGUACAACUGGAACCCAAAUUUAUGUCUGGGUUGGACCUUCACACUCCCAAGCUACUGAAGCUGUUUCAUGCUAAAGGUGGAGCACUUGGACAAAGACUGUAGAUCAUAAUGGAGCCACUGGAGAACUCCACGUGCCCUAGGGUUGAGACGGCCAGAGAGGUUGUCCUUCGGUGCCUUAUAGAAUACCUUGGAGAGCAUGGGGAACAUCUCAUCAAAGAGUUCAGUGACAUCGAGAACUUGGAGGAACUUGAACAGCUUGUAGUGGCAAUAACUCACAAAGGACAUAGCCUCCACAAGCGACAGCCCAAAGGAAAUUGGAGUUGUCAUUGAGGGCAUGGAAGUCAUCAGAGGACUUGGAGAUAUUGCCAGGACUUGCUGUCUCCUCUUGGGCUUGACCUAUGCACUGAAUCUCGACUAUCCCAAGCAGUUGAAGUACACCUUUGAGGUAUUCCAAAAACUUUUCUUGGAACUGGAUGCAUCAAAGCUGUCAAAGAAAGUCCAGUCCCUCAAGAGCAAACUUCUGGCUUGAACUGAGACUAUGGUCGCACACUUUUGUGUGACCCACAAGGUUCAGCUUUAACAAAGCUUGAGAAUUGAAUGUUUGAAGGUGCCAAAUGUCAGUGAAAUUUCUGUUGUGGUCAGUUCACGGUAAAAUGUUUAUGUACAAAUUGUUCUUUUACAUGUUUUCUGUUGGGGCAAGUGCACUUUUCAUAGAUUUGUGCUUUUUCUUUGAGAUCAUAACUGAUAUAAUUUAAUGGCUCGCUGUGCUGAGGAAGCAAGCAUAGGAUUUUUCUUUUCGACAAGACAAUUCUUUCAGUUUAUACAAUGACCAUAAAUGGUCUCCUCUCUUAUUUGUCACAAGCAUUUAAUUUAUUUGUAAUUUUAGCCAGUGGAGUAUGCUCUUGAUUUGCAGGAGAAUCUCAGCUCCCAAUACAUGCCCUGCCCCUUCUACCUUGCAGCAUAUAUUGACCAAUAAGGAUAUUUCACUUGAGGUUAAGCUUAUCCAUUCAGAAUGAAUCAUUUCAAGAUGGGGAAUAUUUCAGACAAAACUAUUUUUUUUCGUUGUAGAGGAACCAAGAAUAGCAUUCAUUCUCCACAUUGAUUAUUUUGAGGAUUCCAUUAGGAACAUUGUGUAAAAAAACAAUAUCACAGCUGUUUAUUGGGUAUUAGCAAAUAUACCACCUGGAUUGCGCUCUAUACUUUGUGCAAUAAACUGGUCUAGUCUCUGCAAGGCUGUUGGUGCUAAAAGAUUUGGCUAUGAUAUUGUGUUAGAGCCUCUCAAAAGAUUUGUGUCUUAAAAAGAAGAGUUUUGUAUGUCUAGAGUUUUUGUUGCCAGUGAUGGAAAGAAUUUUAAAGGGACAGUAUGUUGUAUGGCAGCAGACAAUCUUGGUGCGCACUCUCUUGGUGGACUUAUUGAAAGCUUUACAGGUCCUUACGUUUGCAGGUUCUGCUUAGGACAUCGUUCUGAAUACC
This is a long non-coding RNA of Archocentrus centrarchus (flier cichlid), 1764 nucleotides long. RefSeq lists it as uncharacterized. The record is from RefSeq and is a predicted model, not a curated record. The transcript has 5 exons. NCBI's taxonomy places the organism in Eukaryota, Metazoa, Chordata, Actinopteri, Cichliformes, Cichlidae.